GACGAACGCUGGCGGCGUGGAUUAGGCAUGCAAGUCGAACGGUAUGGACCUUUCGGGGUUCAGAGAGUGGCGAACGGGUGAGUAACACGUAGGUAAUCUACCCUCAAGACGGGGACAACCCAGGGAAACUUGGGCUAAUACCGGAUGUGUGUAGUGGCUAUUUUUCUGAUUAUCAUUAUUUACGUAAGUGAGUAAUAAUAAGAAGGGAAAGUGGUUAUUACAUAAAAGGUGGCGUAAGCUGCCGCUUGGGGAUGAGCCUGCGUCCUAUUAGUUAGUUGGUGAGGCAACGGCUUACCAAGGCGAUGAUAGGUAGGCGGCCUUAACGGGUGGUCGCCCACACUGGGAUUGAGAUACGGCCCAGACUCCUACGGGAGGCAGCAGUCGAGAAUAGUCUACAAUGGACGGAAGUCUGAUAGUGCGACGCCGCGUGAACGAAGAAUCCCUUCGGGGUGUAAAGUUCUUUUAUACGUGAGCAGUGUCCUUUAUAUUAAUAGUAUAAGGGGAGAGAUAUUAGCGUAUGAAUAAGCAAC
This 530-nucleotide ribosomal RNA is filed under the name uncultured bacterium. RNAcentral describes it as "bacterial SSU rRNA". It matches the Rfam family "Bacterial small subunit ribosomal RNA", at positions 28 to 494 of the family's 1533-position model. The record is from RNAcentral.